UUUCCAUAAACCUUUAGGAAUCAGUUC
This 27-nucleotide non-coding RNA is filed under the name Rattus norvegicus (Norway rat). Lineage: Eukaryota; Metazoa; Chordata; Mammalia; Rodentia; Muridae. The record is from RNAcentral.